This 484-nucleotide ribosomal RNA is filed under the name uncultured bacterium. RNAcentral's name for it is "partial 16S ribosomal RNA". It matches the Rfam family "Bacterial small subunit ribosomal RNA", at positions 30 to 507 of the family's 1533-position model. The record is from RNAcentral.
AUUGAACGCUGGCGGCAGGCCUAACACAUGCAAGUCGAGCGGAUGAAGGGAGCUUGCUCCUGGAUUCAGCGGCGGACGGGUGAGUAAUGCCUAGGAAUCUGCCUGGUAGUGGGGGAUAACGUCCGGAAACGGGCGCCAAUACCGCAUACGUCCUGAGGGAGAAAGUGGGGGAUCUUCGGACCUCACGCUAUCAGAUGAGCCUAGGUCGGAUUAGCUAGUUGGUGGGGUAAAGGCCUACCAAGGCGACGAUCCGUAACUGGUCUGAGAGGAUGAUCAGUCACACUGGAACUGAGACACGGUCCAGACUCCUACGGGAGGCAGCAGUGGGGAAUAUUGGACAAUGGGCGAAAGCCUGAUCCAGCCAUGCCGCGUGUGUGAAGAAGGUCUUCGGAUUGUAAAGCACUUUAAGUUGGGAGGAAGGGUAGUAAGUUAAUACCUUGCUGUUUUGACGUUACCAACAGAAUAAGCACCGGCUAACUUCGUG